AACCAUAGAAACCUGCGGAGUACCUGCGGAGGGAUCAUUACACAAUACAAUAUGAAGGCUGUCCGCAGCUGGAGUAUUUUAUUACCCUUGUCUUUUGCGCACUUGUUGUUUCCUGGGCGGGUUCGCUCGCCACCAGGACCACCAAAUAAACCUUUUUUAUGCAGUUGCAAUCAGCGUCAGUACAAACAAUGUAAAUCAUUUACAACUUUUAUCAACGGAUCUCAGAUCGGAAGAGCACAC
This 240-nucleotide unclassified non-coding RNA is filed under the name soil metagenome. Its description in RNAcentral is "partial contains 5.8S ribosomal RNA, internal transcribed spacer 2, and large subunit ribosomal RNA". The record is from RNAcentral.